UACAGAGGUCUCAAGCGUUGUUCGGAUUCAUUGGGCGUAAAGGGUGUGUAGGUGGCGCCGUAAGUCGGGUGUGAAAUUUCGGAGCUUAACUCCGAAACUGCAUUCGAUACUGCGGUGCUUGAGGACUGGAGAGGAGACUGGAAUUUACGGUGUAGCAGUGAAAUGCGUAGAUAUCGUAAGGAAGACCAGUGGCGAAGGCGGGUCUCUGGACAGUUCCUGACACUGAGGCGCGAAGGCCAGGGGAGCAAACGGG
Molecule: ribosomal RNA, 253 nt
Filed under: uncultured bacterium
Lineage: Bacteria
Description: partial 16S ribosomal RNA
Rfam family: Bacterial small subunit ribosomal RNA
Source: RNAcentral